This is a long non-coding RNA of Aquila chrysaetos chrysaetos, 3324 nucleotides long. RefSeq lists it as uncharacterized. The record is from RefSeq and is a predicted model, not a curated record. Lineage: Eukaryota; Metazoa; Chordata; Aves; Accipitriformes; Accipitridae. The transcript is spliced from 3 exons.
CCUCAGCACCCCCGCUCACGGCGGGCUGCGGCCGCGGAGCUCCGGCGGCGAUCGGCGGCUCCGCGCGCACUGCAGCAGCGCCCGCCGCCGUCAGGUCCCUUAGGAAAUUAAAAUCAUCCUGUGUUCACACCGGGAAGAAGUUCUGCUGCAUGCAUAGUCUUCCAGUACUAGAAGAAAGGUCAUACGACUUUUUUGCAAAUAUGUAAUUGCUGUUAAGUGUAGGCAGAAUACCUGCCUGCCUUGAAACUUGACGCAUCCAAGAGGAAGUUGGGUACAGCCACUUCUAGGGGAAGAAUGUGGCUGUGAACAGCAGAGGCAAAGAAAGACAUAAAUAGUUACCAGAAGAGUUAUAAUUAGCCAACAUAUAUGCGGUCUUUGAAAGAUGAAAAUAAUUAACAAUUGCGGUGGAGUUACUGUUAACAGCAGCAGCCCUUUUCCUGAGAGGCCAUCCCUGGUAAGUGCUUUUGCAAGUAGGGGUAGUCCCUUGGUAUGUGAGCACUUGCAAAGAAUGAGAUGGGGCAUAAAAAUCUUGCUGGAAACAUCUGAUGCAGGAUUUUGUUAGGUUUCUUGAGCAAGGAUACAACUAUAUAUGUAUUUUACACAUGUAAACUUGCAGGUCUUGCUUCUGUGAUUUCUUCUAGGACUCUGGCAUCAUCAGUUUACCUGGCUUUUUUGUUUUAUGGUGCCAGCCUGACACCUGUACCUUCCUCUCCAGCAGACACAACUGAACUGUAGUGUCUCUGUCAGCAUGCCUGUCAGCAACCCGAGCUGCAGCGUCAGGGAGAAGAGAACAGUGAUCAGAGUUUAAAAACCUGCUCAGAAAAGAUGACAGAACUCAUUAUGCACCAUCCUGAUCUCAUUGCUGUAUGCGCCUUCCAUUUCUCUCUUUCCUAGCUAGGUGUUACCCAUUUGUUCUUCUGGCUCCAUCAUAAGCUUCAUCCUUCGUGUCUCAGCUAUGUGUGUUGCAUGUUCCUUGUGUUUGCAUAUAAGCACGUAUAAUUCAGGAUCUUACAGUUAAUCUGCAAACCUGAUUAACGCUCAGCAAAUACUGCUAGCAGCUGACUUGCUUUAUCAUCUGAGGUCUGAAAACGGGGAAUGCAUGGAAGUCUUAUACUACCAAUGCUUUGUAGGUUUCUCUGUAUGUGUGACCUCCAAUCAAAAGCCCUAGAACUCAAUUAUAACCUUUCUGUCCCUACCCAUGGCUUUAGAAACAGCCUCUAACUGUGAUGCUGUGACAAAUACAAGCUAAAAAUGCUAUUAAAUAUGGAUGAUGUGUGUUCUACUGUAUUAGAUAACAUGGCCACGUUCAUCAUGUGCUAAUGCUGCCAAUGCACAGCUUUGCUAAUGCAGCCUCCCUCUCGCUCUUGCUUUGGGCAAUUUAAGAGGCGUUUUGGUUACACUUUACCUUUACUUUCUUCCUUUUCACUUUUUUUUUCUUUAUUCAUUACUCUGAAAAUGGUGGUCUGCAGCAGAGACUGGGCAGAGCUCAUGUUUCCCAGCUUUCCUAAGCUGUAGUUCACUAAGAAGCCAAGCCGGUCUGGAAACCAAUUGGAGAGGUUGGUAGACAAUGCUUUAGUGAAAAGCAGAUACCCAAGUCCCUCCUCCUUUCUGAGGCCACUGCUGCACUGUUUGAAUCUAUCACCCUUCCCUUUAUAUCACCAGCUUAUCCCCAGCUUACGCUCACCAUCCUUUGUCAAAAGGGAAUGGAAGAAUUGCCUGUGUUCUGCUCCCUCAGUGAUCGCAUCCUCUUGGGGCUCAGCUGGGAGUUCACCUGUCUGACCUGAUGCUUUUCUGUUCAUUAGUGUAACUCAGGCCUGUUACCAUUUCGGUUUUGCAGCAUUGUAAUUAUGGCAGUUGGCAGAAUACCUUUUGCUUUAUACUGAUACGGCUAGCUACCUUGCUGUGAAUGCAGUGACAGCAGUAGAAGAGGUGUCUUCUACCAGCAUACUUUAGGUAUCUGCAUGUUUUGCCUGACUCUGAGCUAGGUGGGCAUGAGUCAGCUCUGACCCAGAAGCCAUCUGGCCGUGCAGUGCUGUACUGAGCUCAUCAGGCUGCUCUCUCAGAAGGUUUCUUCACUCAGGCAAAACAUUUACAGCUCUUUGGCAGUUCAGCCAUGUACCCGUCAGGAGAGAGGUGGGCAAGUGUCCAUUUGCAUCCCUUGCAACAAGCCUUGUCUGCAUUUCCUUACGGCCUCCCAGAAGGAGAAUGAGCUGUAAAUCUGUAAAUACAGUGGGAUGACCGAGUCCAGUCUUGGGAGAGCAUGCUGCAGUAUCUGUAUCAGGGCAGAUAACACGGUGCCUGAGCUCUUGUUAUUCUAGCCACAUGUGUUCAUGAAAUGGAGCCUGUUUUAGCCACUCGCCAACUGCAGGCUCAGGAGCAGUGACCACAGCAGCUUACUGGUUUCGUUCUUGCUGACAUGAUGAUUCCCGACUUCCACCCCUUGCAGGUAAUGUUGCCUUAGCUGUUUGGGGUCACCCAGCUUUCUCUUGUCAAGUAGUGCAAUGUCAAAGCAACGCAGCUGAUGCACAUGCUGUUGGCACAGAUCCUCUUCUAUUCUCUCACUCCAGAAGUGCUCUGAGAGUCCUCCUGAGUGCUGACGCUACUUUUGCUCUUCCUACCUAACUUUUACCUUUAGCUCUUAAACCCUGGAAAUCCCCGAACACAGAGUCGGGCACAGCAUUGGAGGGGGCCAGAGCGGGGCAUGCACUUUCCUGAGCUACCACAGUAUAUGUGUAAGUUUUCGUUUGGAAAGAGGGCAUUCACAAAAGGGCAUGUUAAGCCCUGUCCGCUUUGUAUAUACUGUGGCUCUGCCCUCACCAGGGGAAAGAUGAAUUCUUGGUGCUCUCUGACAAGUGAUAAUUGCUGGGAGGUAUAAAACUGAUGAAGGUGAGGCAAAUUGUAACCUUAGAGUGUGCAUUUUCCUGGCUUCCCUUUUCUUGACCUGCUAACAUACAAAGUGGCAGAUGGCUUUGGUUUUGCUUGGAUUUUACCCCACUAUCUAAUCCAGGAAUAGUUUUUACUGCAUAGGGCUGUGGCCUGUGGUAAUGUAAAGGGAGUAUUUGCCUGUGGGCGAGGGUCCUGCUCUCAGAGGCCUGUCUGAAAAACCCUGUGCCUCCACCCAUGGCUGCGUCUCUUCUGUGACGGUUCAGCGUUCAAGCCAAACACAGUGUGCUCAAACCACAGGUAUGACACGGGUCAGCCACAGUCACGCUCUUCACCCCAGUCCAUCUCAGUCUCUCUGUCCUGGUUUCAGCUGGGAUAGAGUUAAUUGUCUUCCUAGUAGCUGGUACAGUGCUAUGUUUUGAGUUCAGUAUGCAAAGAAUG